GCCUGGUGGAUGGCUCGGCUUGGGUGCCGACGAAGGGCGUGGCAAGCUGCGAUAAGCCCCGGGUAGGCGCAGGCAGCCGUCGAUCCGGGGAUGCCCGAAUGGGACUUCCUACCGGCCUUCGGGCCGGUGCUCCGUGAGGAGCGGGAACCCCCCGAAGUGAAACAUCUCAGUAGGGGGAGGAGGAGAAACCAAUAGGGAUUCCCUGAGUAGCGGCGAGCGAAAGGGGAAGAGCCCAAACCGAACGCCGAGGCGAAGAGUCUCGGCGGAUGUGGUGUAGAGGGGCUGGCCGCCCCCUCCUCGGCGAAGCCGAAGAGAGCUGGAAAGCUCCGCCGUAGAGGGUGAUAGCCCCGUAGGCGUAAGCCGAGAGGGGAUGGGCCGGCUUCCGGAGUAGCGCGCCUUGAGACUGGCGCGUGAAUCUGGGAGACAUUAACUUCCAAGGCUAAAUACACCCCAAGACCGAUAGCGCACUAGUACGGUGACGGAAAGCUGAAAAGAACCCCGGGAGGGGCGUGAAAAGAGCCUGAAACCAGGCAGUUACAGACGUGUGCGGCCCGAAAGGGCUUGAACCUCCCCGAAGGAGGCCGCGGCGACGCGGUAGUACGAGGGGAGGGGACCAGGGUCGCACGCUCCGUCUUGAAACACGGGCCGGGGAGUUCACCCGCGUGGCGAGCUUAAGGGUGUAAAGCCCGGAGGCGUAGGGAAACCGAAGGCGCGCAGCCGGCCUCUGGCCGGUGAGGCGCUGGGUCCGAUAAGGGCCCGGAGUCACGCGGGUGAGGCUAGAAGCCGGGUGAUCUAGCCCUGGGCAGGGUGAAGUCAGGCGAAAGCCUGAUGGAGGCCCGAAAGGGUGCUGACGUGCAGCUCGCUCCCCUGACCUGGGGCUAGGGGUAAAAGGCCAAUCUAACCCGGGGAUAGCUAGUUCCCUCCGAAGUAUGCCGCAGCAUAGCCCCGGGGGAGGCGGCCGGCGGGGUAGAGCACCGAUUGAGGGGUAAGGGGCCGAGGAGGCCUCGCCUCCCUAUCGAACUCCGAAUCCGCCGGCGCCGUAGAACCCGGGAGAUGGGGCGCACGGGUUAAGCCCGUGCCCCGAGAGGGGAACAACCCUGACUGGGGUUAAGGCCCCUAAGUGCUGGCUAAGUGACAAACGGAAGGGCGUCCUAAGCCUAAGACAGCGGGGAGGUAGGCUUAGAAGCAGCCAUCCUUUAAAGAGUGCGUAACAGCUCACCCGCCGAGGCUUAGGGCCCCGAAGAUGGACGGGUCUAAGCCAGCCGCCGAUACCCCAGGGCUGCCCCGGAUAGGGGCAGUUCGGUAGGAGGGCGUCCCGAUUGGGCAGAAGCAGGGCCGUGAGGUCCUGUGGACCGAUCGGGAUUGCAGAUCCCGGCGGUAGUAACAGCGUAGUCGGGUGAGAAUCCCGACCGCCGGAAGGGCAAGGGUUUCCCGGCGAUGCGUCGUCAGCCGGGAGUUAGCCGGUCCUAAGGCCAGCGUUAACAUAGCUGGCCGAAAGGGAAACGGGUUAAUAUUCCCGUGCUGCGGGGGUACGUGCGGCGACGCUAGGCCCCGGGCGUGACGCUUCGGGGUAGGCCGAGCAGGGCUGUCGCCCUGUUUAACUGCUGAAGCCUGGGGAGAACCGUAAUGGUGAGAACCAGGCGAAGGCAGGAAUAGCCUCCCGCCUUAGGGGGGUUCGGCCGAACCCUGGAGCCCUUGAAAAGCGCCCGGGGAAGGAUCCCCCGCAACCGUACCCAGAACCGACACAGGUGCCCUGGGUGAGAAGCCUAAGGCGUGUCGGGGUACUCCAGGCGAGGGAACUCGGCAAACUGGCCCCGUACCCUAGGUAGAAGGGGUGCCUGCUGCGUUGGCCACGAGGCUGGCGCGGCAGGUCGCAGUGACAGGGGGGUCCCGGCUGUUUAAUAAAAACAUAGGUAGCCGCAAGCCCGAAAGGGUGUGUACGGCUGCUGAAUCCUGUCCAGUGGCGGUACCUGAAACCCGGGUCCAACCGGGCUAAGGGCCGCUAAACGACGGGAGUAACUCUGACUCUCUUAAGGUAGCCAAAUGCCUUGUCGGGUAAGUUCCGACGUGCAUGAAUGGAUCCACGAGGGCCCCGCUGUCCCCGCCUGGAGCCCGGUGAACCCACCUGCUGGCCGAACAGUCCAGCGACCCCCAGCGGGAAGAGAAGACCCCGUGGAGCUUUACUGCAGCCUGUCGUUGGGAUGCGGCCGUGCCUGCAUAGCGUAGGUGGGAGCCUUUGAACACGCCUCUCCGGGGGCGUGGGAGGCGCCAAUGGAACACCACCCAGGUGCGGCUGCGUCCCUAACCGAGGCCUGGCAGCCCGGGACAGCGGCAGGUGGGCAGUUUGGCUGGGGCGGCACCCCCUUGAUAAGGAAUCGAGGGGGCCCAAAGGUCGGCUCAGGCGGGACGGAAACCCGCCGUAGAGGGCAAGGCCAAAAGCCGGCCUGACCGGAACCUGCACAAUGAGGGUUCCGGAGGCGAAAGCCCGGCCUAGCGAGCUACCGUGCCCCUAUUAAUGAGGGCCGGUAGUGACAGAAAAGUUACCCCGGGGGUAACAGGCUCGUCGCGGGCGAGAGUUCACAUCGACCCCGCGGCUCGGUACCUCGAUGUCGGCUCUCCCCAACCUGGCCUCGCAUAAGGGGCCAAGGGUGAGGCUGCUCGCCUAUUAAAGGGGAACGUGAGCUGGGUUUAGACCGUCGUGAGACAGGUCGGGUUCUAUCUGCUGGGGGUGCUGGCCGUCUGAGGGGAAAGUGUCUCUAGUACGAGAGGAACGAGACGCUGGGGCCUCUGGUCUACCGGUUGUCCGACAGGGCAAAGCCGGGCAGCCACGCCCCCGCGGAUAAGGGCUGAAAGCAUCUAAGCCCGAAGCCGCUCCCGAAACGAGACGGCCGCUCCCACGCCCGGCGCCCAGCGACCGGGGUGGGACGAGGGCUCCCGUAGAAGACGGGUUUGAUGGGGUCGGGGUGUAAGCGC
RNAcentral lists this ribosomal RNA (2973 nucleotides) under Candidatus Acetothermia bacterium. RNAcentral describes it as "bacterial LSU rRNA". It matches the Rfam family "Archaeal large subunit ribosomal RNA". The record is from RNAcentral. Lineage: Bacteria; Candidatus Bipolaricaulota.